AACUCGCUCCCUGAUUCAUCGCUCUCUUUACUCGAACUUAUGCAUAAGAUACCUACAACCGGAAGUUGUCUUCCCAAGAGGUCGCUCCCGUCGUACGUCCCAAGCCCCAAGACGUCGAUUCGAUUUUCCUUAAGACGUCGAUUCAAUCUCCAAGGUGAGAUUCAUCGUUCAAAACAUAAUGUUAUACGGUUGGGGUUCCACUCGAUUCUUGAUUCCAUCUCCACUUCUGAUUCGAUUCUCGAUCUCCAAGAGAUAUUGGAAUAUACAUGAGUAAUUUUCUUCAUCUCCAUUUCGAUCGUUUCGAGAAACUAGGGAUUCCAUUMACUGAUUAUGUUGACUUGGUGGGAGCAAAUUGAUAGCGGCAAACAGCUCACUUGCAAC
This is a long non-coding RNA of Cynara cardunculus var. scolymus (artichoke), 381 nucleotides long. RefSeq lists it as uncharacterized. The record is from RefSeq and is a predicted model, not a curated record. NCBI's taxonomy places the organism in Eukaryota, Viridiplantae, Streptophyta, Magnoliopsida, Asterales, Asteraceae. The transcript is spliced from 3 exons.